UACGUAGGGGGCAAGCGUUGUCCGGAAUUAUUGGGCGUAAAGCGCGCGUAGGCGGUUUCUUAAGUCUGAUGUGAAAUCUUGCGGCUCAACCGCAAGCGGUCAUUGGAAACUGGGGAACUUGAGUGCAGAAGAGGAGAGUGGAAUUCCACGUGUAGCGGUGAAAUGCGUAGAUAUUCGGAGGAACACCAGUGGCGAAGGCGGCUCUCUGGUCUGUAACUGACGCUGAGGCGCGAAAGCAUGGGUAGCGAACAGG
Molecule: unclassified non-coding RNA, 253 nt
Filed under: uncultured Bacillaceae bacterium
Lineage: Bacteria; Bacillati; Bacillota; Bacilli; Caryophanales; Bacillaceae
Description: contains 16S-23S intergenic spacer region
Rfam family: Bacterial small subunit ribosomal RNA
Source: RNAcentral